RNAcentral lists this transfer RNA (72 nucleotides) under Agaricus bisporus var. burnettii JB137-S8. Its description in RNAcentral is "tRNA-Trp (CCA) (tRNA-Trp-CCA-3-1)". It matches the Rfam family "tRNA". From Rfam's summary of the family: Transfer RNA (tRNA) molecules are approximately 80 nucleotides in length. RNAcentral also lists the same sequence under 1 other name. Lineage: Eukaryota; Fungi; Basidiomycota; Agaricomycetes; Agaricales; Agaricaceae. The record is from RNAcentral.
GGACCCCUAGCUCAGCGGUAGAGCGUGAGAUUCCAGUCCUCAAGGUCAUCCGUUCAAUCCGGGUGGGGUUCA